Molecule: ribosomal RNA, 405 nt
Filed under: Mus terricolor (Earth-colored mouse)
Lineage: Eukaryota; Metazoa; Chordata; Mammalia; Rodentia; Muridae
Description: partial 12S ribosomal RNA
Source: RNAcentral
CAAAGGUUUGGUCCUGGCCUUAUAAUUAAUUAGAGGUAAAAUUACACAUGCAAACCUCCAUAAACCGGUGUAAAAUCCCUUAAACAUUUAACUAAACUUUAAGGAGAGGGUAUCAAGCACAUUAAUAUAGCUUAAGACACCUUGCCUAGCCACACCCCCACGGGAUCCAGCAGUGAUAAAUAUUAAGCAAUAAACGAAAGUUUGACUAAGUUAUACCUCUUAGGGUUGGUAAAUUUCGUGCCAGCCACCGCGGUCAUACGAUUAACCCGAACUAAUUAUUUCCGGCGUAAAAUGUGUUAACUAUAAAUAAAAAAUAGAAUUAAAAUCCAACUUAUAUGUGAAAAUUCAUUGUUAGGACCUAAACUCAAUAACGAAAGUAAUUCUAAUCAUUUAUAAUACACGACA